Molecule: unclassified non-coding RNA, 241 nt
Filed under: plant metagenome
Description: partial contains small subunit ribosomal RNA, internal transcribed spacer 1, and 5.8S ribosomal RNA
Source: RNAcentral
UUUCCGUAGGUGAACCUGCGGAAGGAUCAUUAAAGAGUAAGGGUCUUCGGGCCCGAUCUCCAACCCUUUGUUUAACUACCAUGUUGCUUUGGCGGGCCCGUCUCACGACCGCCGGUAGUUUGGCUUCGACCAAACUUCUGGCCCGUGCCCGUCAGUGGCCCCUUCAAAUUCUUGAUCAAGUAUGAUGUCUUAGUUCAAAACUUAAUAGUUAAAACUUUCAACAACGGAUCUCUUGGUUCUG